RNA transcript from Hyla sarda, 6268 nucleotides. It is a transcript of the gene named protein kinase C delta type-like, with no coding region annotated. Lineage: Eukaryota; Metazoa; Chordata; Amphibia; Anura; Hylidae. The record is from RefSeq and is a predicted model, not a curated record. The transcript is spliced from 3 exons.
ACAGGUUUUGAUAAAUCUCCUCCUAUGGACAUAAUCUAAUGUAUCUGAGUGAUGACACUUAUUGAAUGUAGCAGAACAUUACAGGCCAUUACAAGGCUUUAUUAUUUCUGCCAUUAGCAGCAAGUACAUGGUCUGGUUUAUUCCAGCCUCCUUAUUCUAACCUUCCAGCAGAGUUUAUGGGCACCACUGCCAACCUAUACAACACAUAAAAGUCACAUCACCUGCCCCAUCUACUAAUAAUAAAGCACUACAAGAACCAGCCAUGAAUAUCUCCAUUCUUCUGGACCCUAGGCUAUCACCCAUGAUGCCUAUAUCACAAUGUAUAUGGAUCCACAGGUCCCUGGACCACUGGUAGCAGGUGCCACCUGAUGUUUUGAUGACAUCACGUCACCUGGACAACGGCUGUUGUUGUUGUUUACCCACAACUGUCAGUUGGACCGAGCGGACGGACGUCUACAGGAUCCCAAAGAUGGCGGCUACUGGAAGAAGAGGAGAUGUCGAGAAGGAGAGAGGAGAGAAGAGGGAAGAGGAGAGCGGAGGAAAGAGGAAGAGGGAAGAGGAAAGCGAGGAGGUGAAGGAGAGCGGAAAGAAGAGGAAGGAGGAAGAGGUGAGCGAGGAGGUGAAGAAGAGGAAGAGAGAAGAGGAAAGAGAGGAGGUGAAGGAGAGCAGAGAGAAGAGGAAGGAGGAAGAUGUGAGCGAGGAGGUGAAGAAGAGGAAGAGAGAAGAGGAAAGUGAGGAGGUGGAGAAGACAGGAGUGAAGAGGAAGGAGGAAGAUGUGAGCGAGGAGGUGAACAAGAGGAAGAGAGAAGAGGAAAGCGAGGAGGUGGAGAAGACAGGAGAGAAGAGGAAGGAGGAAGAGGUGAGCGAGGAGGUGAAGAAGAGGAAGAGAGAAGAGGAAAGCGAGGAUGUGGAGAAGAGGAGAGGAGAAGAUGCCAGAUUAUUGGAGGAUGAGGAGCCAAGACCAGGCACCAGUCAGGACCCCGGAACAUCAAGCUCCUACCCCAAAUUUAACAUCUAUCACCUCACUAUCCAUCAGGUAUUGGGUAGGGGCAGCUUUGGAGUGAUUUUUCCCAGGUUGCAAUGCGGCCGAGACCUGACUCACUAGUCAGCUGAUGACAGGGAGCCUGUCUGCUUCAAUGGGUGGAGUGAUCGCUUGGUGGGAGAGAGAUCAAUCUGCAACUAUUGCAACAACUGUAGGCACCCUGAUUGAAAACCACAGGUCUUUUGAAUGAAUGCUGCUCAUUUAUGGGAGUGUGACUGAUGUGUGGGAGGGAGGAAAAUGGAAUUAUGGGCUUUGUAGGCAAAGAAGUAAACUCAAAAAGGAAAUACUAGUUCACAAAAAGCUAGCCACAGCGUUAUGGUAAUCUCACGCCAUUUAGCCCCAAGACAAGCGCAGAUCCUUCCUAAGCAUGUCCAUUAAUGUCUGCCAGCCAAUGCAGAUCUGGAGGUGUCUGCAGUAUAAGACAUAUUCUAACAGCAGAAAAGUAACUGCAGCUCUGGAAGUGACAGGAGGAUAAGACAUGUUGUGACAGCAGAAUAGUGACAGCAGCUCUUAAGGUGACUGGAGGAUAAGUCAAAAUAUAACAGCAGAAUACUGACUGCAACUCUGGAGAUGACUGGAGUAUAACACAUGAUGUGAGAGCAGAAUAGUGGCUGCAGCUCUAGAGGUGAAAGGAGCUUAAGACAUGAUGUAACAGCAGAAUAGUGGUUGCAGCACUGGAGGCAACUUGAGGAUGCGACAAGAUGUAAUAGUAGAAAAGUAAGUACAGCUUUGGCAGUAACAGGAGGACGAGAUAUGGUGUAACAGCAAAAUAGUGUCUACCAUGCUGUGCCUGUAUUUAUCUGAAUAAAGCUUGAAGUUUUUUUUACCUGCUACCGUGGUGCCGGAUACUUCUAUUGCUGUCCAUGUCUGUGGAGGGGAACGCUACCCGACAGUCCAGGCACAGGAGCGGAGGAAAGGAUCAGAGCAGUGAAGCACAUUUUAUUAACAGCAAAAAAGUGAGUACACACACCUUGUCUCUGUCUUCUUCCUCUGUGAACGUGAAUCAGGUACCUGUCAUAGUGCCAAAAGAAAAAAAAGUGAUAUGUUGCUCAGUACCUAAUCCUGAUCCUGUACAUAUAAAAUGUUAUGUGUCUAGGACCUAUAUAUCCCUAACAGAUAGCAUUUAUAUCUUGGUCACUUGCUUUGUCUUCUUGCCUUGUGGAGGGGGCGUGUCCAUCUCUUUCCCUCACUGAGUCUGGGAGCAGCCUGGCAGUUUGCAGAUCUUUCUAAAUUAGUGCAAGGAUUUUAGUGAUAAAAACACAGUAGUUUUUAUGCAUACAUUUUAUAUCUGUUCCUAGUAAAGAUGGAUGCUAUUCCAGCUUUACUAGGAACAGAUAGAAAAUGUGUGUCAUUCAGCUUUAACAGACUCCUGAAUGUCUGUUCAGCUUCUUUGUCAUUCAGGAGUCAGAGAAAGCUUUGGCUGUUCAAGCAUGCUGGGAGUUGUAGUUUUGCAAUAACUUGAGCUACAGUGUUUGUAAAGCACUGUGUUAGAACAGUGUUGCCUUUAGCUGUUGCAAAACUACAACUCCCAGCAUGCCCACACAUCCUUUGUCUGUAGUUUUGCAAGAGAUGGAGACACACAGCUGGAGAAAACCCAGCUCUAACACAGAGUUUUACAAAGAUUGUAACUCCAGCUGUUGCAAAACUACAACUCCCAUCAUGGUAGUUGUAGUUUAGAAAUAGCUGAAGGCUGCAGUGGUGAUCUCCUAUACUGGAUACCAACACACUUUAUGGCCUGUAUCCAGUAUGCUGCAAAAUUCAGAGUAGUCUGUCUGCAUAAAGACUGAUGACCCCUAGUGGUGGUUAUUUUCAUUUUUCCUUUUUUAGUAAUUUUUUUUUUAUAAAUGUGUAUUUAAAAAAGUCAUCUUAUCAGUAGUACUACAAAAUAUAAAAAGUUUUUCAACAUGACAGUGUCUCUUUAAGCAUGCUCCUAUCGGUGAAGGGGAGGAGUUCCUGCACGGAAUAAAGAUAUGUGGUGGCACCCUGCCUCCGUCCUACAUGCCCCUAGGCCUUAUGUCCCCCCUUGCUAUCCUCCUGCACUGGCUCUUAGAAGAUCAGGGAGAAUGCAAGCUGGAGCUCUCUAUAUAAUACAUACAGACCUUCAGCUUGCAUGCUCCCCGAGAAGCAGCAAGACCUACGGUGGCCGGGCCCUCCGUGCCUGACCUGUCACACGCCCCUGCUACAGAGAAGCUGUCAUCUGGCCAAUUGUAUUGCAUCAUAGCUGUAGUCACUUGUAAGUUCUGCAGUGAUCAUGGGUGAAACAACAACUCCCAGCAUAACCUUAUUACUGCUAAGAUUUUACUGGGAGCUAUAUUAUCACAUGGUACAAACUUAUUGAGCAAUUGCCCCUUACUUGGCUUCACAACAGGCUAAAAAAUUACUUAGGGGGGCAUUAUAGGGUGACACCAUUUUCUACCACAACGGGUGACAUUAACCUUAGCAACACCACUGGUGCUCUGUAAUAGCUAGAGGCAAAGAGCUCGCUGUUACUGUGCUCCUCUGUGUGUGCCGCUGUGUCAGUCAAUGGGAGGUCAGCAGAGAAAGGUGUUGGCGGCCCUCUGAUACUCGGGCACAUUAUAAAGAAUUUAUUCUCUUUUGGCUAUAAAACAAUGAAAUAUACACAGAAACAUAUGAGUGGAAUAAGCUUUUUAACCCCCAUUACAAGGAUGUGAUAGAUGCCCAUUACAAGGAUAUGAUAGAUGCCCAUUACAAGGAUGUGAUAGAUGCCCAUUACAAGAAUGUGAUAGAUGCCCAUUACAAGGAUGUGAUAGAUGCCCAUUACAACGAUGUGGUAGAUGCCCAUUAAAAGGAUGUGAUAGAUGCCAAUUACAAGGAUGUGGUAGAUGCCCAUUACAAGGAUGUGGUAGAUGCCCAUUACAAGGAUGUGAUAGAUGCCCAUUACAAGGAAGUGAUAGAUGCCCAUUACAAGGAUGUGAUAGAUUCCCAUUACAAGGAUGUGAUAGAUGCCCAUUACAAGGAUGUGAUAGAUGCCCAUUACAAGGAUGUGGUAGAUGCCCAUUACAAGGAUGUCAUAGAUGCCCAUUACAAGGAUGUGAUAGAUGCCCAUUACAAGGAUGUGAUAGAUGCCCAUUACAAGGAUGUGAUAGAUGCCCAUUACAAGGAUGUGAUAGAUGCCCUUUUUCAUCCAUUAUGCCUGGGCUGCCAAAAAAAACAAAACUGUAACUCACAUUCCGCUACUCCCCCCGUGUGCCAAUAUCGGUCGUCUAUCUUCUGGGCCCGGUCUUUUUCCGCAUCUUGGAGCUUAUCGCUGGCCGCAGUGAUGUCUCGCCUUACAUGACACUGUGCUCAGUCUAUCACCAGUCAAGGCAGGAGGGACAUUGCUGUGGCCGGCUAUAAGCUGAGCGCAGUGCCCCACUGAGAGACGUGAUUGUCCGGCACCGCCUCUGUUGCAUGCUUGGAGUACUGUUAGUACCACAAUAAUGACAGAUAUAUAGUUGAUAUUGGAUUUUGCACAGUAUUUAGUAAAAUUCUAAUUAUAAAAAUACAUAAUAAAUAAAAAGUUUUAAAAAAUUAAGAAAAAAAUAUAUUAUUUUUACAAUUACAUGGACCCCUUAUCCAUUUGUAAUACUGCCGGCUACAUUUUCAGGUCCCUGCCCGUUCACAUAAAUCAUUCCCUGAUUGAAAAAAAAAAAAUAAAUGUAUAUAUAUAUUAAAAUAUCUAAAAUUUGUUCCCUACAAAUUUUCCCAUCCAUACUGCAUCAUUUUAUCUAUCUAUCUAUCUAUCUAUCUAUCUAUCUAUCCAUAUAUAUAUAUAUAUUUAUAUAUAUAAAACUCAAUGUGUGUAUGUGUGUAUGUAUGUGUGUAAGUUCCAGCAUCACGUCCAAACGGCUAAAGAUAUUAACAUGAAACUUGGCACACAUGUUACUAAUAGGUCAACAACAAACAUAGGAUUUGCCAAGGGCGGGGUUUUUGUUUAAAGUCCCAUACAAGUCUAUGGGAAUUACUGUAGAUGCUACUGCAUAACUUCCAAACGGCUGGAGAUAUUUUGAUAAUACUUGGUCACAUGUUACUUAUAUGUCCACUUAAAAUAUAGGAUAGCUAAUUUAACCCUUAACUACCCCCAUUUGUGAGGGUCAGGGUUUUUGUUUAAAGUCCCAUGCAAAUCAAUGGGAAAUGUAUGUUCCCACAUAACUUCCGUACGGCUGGACAUAUUUCAAUAACGGGUACACAUAUUACGGGUCAGGAUAGGAGGUCGGGAUGGGAGUUCGAGAUAGGAGGUCAAGAUAGGAGAACAGGAUAUGAGGACUGGAUAGGAGGAUGGGAUAGGAGGUCGAGAUAUGAGGACUGGAUAGGAGGUCGGGAUAUGAGGAAGGGAUAGGAGGACGGGAUAUGAGGAAGGGAUAGGAGGUCGGAUAGGUGGUCGAGAUAGGAAGACGGGAUAUGAGGACAGGAUAGGAGGAAGGGAUAGGAGGUCGAGAUAGGAGGACUGGAUAGGAGGAUGGGAUAUGAGGACGGGAUAGGAGUUCGGGAUAGGAGGAAGGGAUAGGAGGUCAGAAUAGGAGGUAAGGAUAAGAGGACAGGAUAGGAGGUCAGGAUAGGAGGUCGGCAUAGGAUGUCGGGAUAUGAGGACGGGAUAGGAGGUCGGGAUAGGAGGAAGGGAUAGGAGGUCGGGAUAGGAGGUCGGGAUAGGAGGUCAGGAUAAGAGGACAGGAUAGGAGGACAGGAUAGGAGGUUGGGAUAGGAGGUCGGCAUAGGAAGUCGGGAUAGGAGGUCGGCAUAGGAGGUCGGGAUAUGAGGACGGGAUAGGAGGACGGGAUAGGAGGUCGGGAUAUGGCAUCAAUAUAUGAGGACGGGAUAUGAAGUCAAAAGCUUCCUCCUUUGUUUAUUUUCCUCCCCAACAAGGAUUAGGAAGGAAAAACCGGGCAAUGCUGGGUACUCAGCUAGUAUAUAUAUAUUUAUUUAUUUUAAUAGUAAAAUGGAAUAACUAAAGUAACAAAUAAAAAUAAAAAUAAAACACGCCUGCAAAAACAAUGUUAAAACUCACAUGGCUUUUUUUUGUGUUUUUUCACUCCCACACUAUGGAGAAAAACACAGCUAUUUUCCCAAAAAAACGCCAUAGUCUCAUAAGGUCGCGUCUAGGAAUCACCCAAUGAGCCCAAAAAAGCUGAAAAAAAAUGCCAAAAGGAUGAAAAAGAAACACCAAUUAGAAUAACGAAAAAAAGUGGAUAUGGCAUUUUGUAGUUCCUUAUUGACUUGCAGCUAACA